GCCCUGGCAGUCAGAGGCGAUGAAGGGCGUGCUAAUCUGCGAUAAGCGCCGGUAAGGUGAUAUGAACCGUUAUAACCGGCGAUACCCGAAUGGGGAAACCCAGUGUGAUUCGUCACACUAUCAUUAACUGAAUCCAUAGGUUAAUGAGGCGAACCGGGGGAACUGAAACAUCUAAGUACCCCGAGGAAAAGAAAUCAACCGAGAUUCCCCCAGUAGCGGCGAGCGAACGGGGAGGAGCCCAGAGCCUGAAUCAGCAUGUGUGUUAGUGGAAGCGUCUGGAAAGGCGCGCGAUACAGGGUGACAGCCCCGUACACAAAAGCGCAUGUGCUGUGAGCUCGAUGAGUAGGGCGGGACACGUGGUAUCCUGUCUGAAUAUGGGGGGACCAUCCUCCAAGGCUAAAUACUCCUGACUGACCGAUAGUGAACCAGUACCGUGAGGGAAAGGCGAAAAGAACCCCGGCGAGGGGAGUGAAAAAGAACCUGAAACCGUGUACGUACAAGCAGUGGGAGCACAGGUUUACCUGUGUGACUGCGUACCUUUUGUAUAAUGGGUCAGCGACUUAUAUUCUGUAGCAAGGUUAACCGAAUAGGGGAGCCGGAGGGAAACCGAGUCUUAAC
This 618-nucleotide ribosomal RNA is filed under the name Salmonella enterica subsp. enterica serovar Berta. RNAcentral describes it as "partial 23S ribosomal RNA". It matches the Rfam family "Bacterial large subunit ribosomal RNA", at positions 30 to 688 of the family's 2925-position model. RNAcentral also lists the same sequence under 1 other name. Lineage: Bacteria; Pseudomonadati; Pseudomonadota; Gammaproteobacteria; Enterobacterales; Enterobacteriaceae. The record is from RNAcentral.